UACGGGGGGGGUAAGCGUUGUUCGGAAUUACUGGGCGUAAAGGGCUCGUAGGCGGCCAACUAAGUCAUACGUGAAAUCCCUCAGCUUAACUGGGGAACUGCUUGGCAUACUGGCGGUCUUGAGCAACCUAGGGGCGAGCGGAACAAAUGGUGGAGCGGUGAAAUGCGUAGAUAUCAUUUGGAACGCCAAUGGUGAAAACAGCUCGCUGGGGGUUUGCUGACGCUGAGACACGAAAGCCAGGGGAGCAAACGGG
RNAcentral lists this ribosomal RNA (253 nucleotides) under uncultured bacterium. RNAcentral's name for it is "partial 16S ribosomal RNA". It matches the Rfam family "Bacterial small subunit ribosomal RNA", at positions 524 to 776 of the family's 1533-position model. The record is from RNAcentral.